CGUCUUCAGGGCAGGGUGUAAUUCCCGACCGGUGGUAAAGUCCACGAACUCGAGGCAUCGAGCUGAUCUGGUGAAAUUCCAGUACCGACAGUAAAGUCUGGAUGGAAGAAGAUU
This 114-nucleotide non-coding RNA is filed under the name Ruoffia tabacinasalis. RNAcentral's name for it is "FMN riboswitch (RFN element)". It matches the Rfam family "FMN riboswitch aptamer (RFN element)". Rfam says of the family: The RFN element is a highly conserved domain that is found frequently in the 5'-untranslated regions of prokaryotic mRNAs that encode for flavin mononucleotide (FMN) biosynthesis and transport proteins. Lineage: Bacteria; Bacillati; Bacillota; Bacilli; Lactobacillales; Aerococcaceae. The record is from RNAcentral.